AUCAUGUUCCAGUACAUUAUGUUGAGUAUUCAACCAAAGAAGUUAGGCUGUUCUCCAGAAUUGGCCCUCUCCUAAAGGUCAAAAC
Molecule: non-coding RNA, 85 nt
Organism: Procavia capensis (Cape rock hyrax)
Lineage: Eukaryota; Metazoa; Chordata; Mammalia; Hyracoidea; Procaviidae
Source: Rfam